GACGUAGGAUGCAAGCGUUGUCCGGAUUUAUUGGGCGUAAAGAGUUCGUAGGUGGUUCGUUAAGUCUGAUGUUAAAGACCGAGGCUCGACUUCGGGACUGCAUUGGAUACUGGCGGACUUGAGUGUGGUAGAGGCAAUCGGAAUUCCAGGUGUAGCGGUGAAAUGCGUAGAUAUCUGGAGGAACACCGGUGGCGAAGGCGGCAUCCUGGACCGGCAUUGACGCUGAGGAGCGAAAGCCAGGGGAGCAAACGGG
Molecule: ribosomal RNA, 253 nt
Filed under: uncultured bacterium
Lineage: Bacteria
Description: partial 16S ribosomal RNA
Rfam family: Bacterial small subunit ribosomal RNA
Source: RNAcentral